RNAcentral lists this transfer RNA (65 nucleotides) under Zahniserius cylindricus. Its description in RNAcentral is "tRNA-Ala". Lineage: Eukaryota; Metazoa; Arthropoda; Insecta; Hemiptera; Cicadellidae. The record is from RNAcentral.
AGAGUUAUAUUUAAUUAUAAUAUUUGAUUUGCAAUCAAAAGGUGUUUCUGAAAGAACUAACUUUU